This is a long non-coding RNA of Cynoglossus semilaevis (tongue sole), 664 nucleotides long. RefSeq lists it as uncharacterized. Lineage: Eukaryota; Metazoa; Chordata; Actinopteri; Pleuronectiformes; Cynoglossidae. The transcript has 2 exons. The record is from RefSeq and is a predicted model, not a curated record.
UUGUUUAGGUAAUGUCGUCAAUUAUCUAUUUUAUUUCUUUCCGCGCACAUCUAAAAUUUCAGCAUUAACGAUAAUCUACACUACGGGACCUUUAAAUUUACGUCAUUUCCUCUCGAUAGUUUGCGCAUGCGUAGCAAGAGGUCAUUUAAAUUGAACCGGAACAAUUGAUCUCGUUUAUCAAACAAACAUUUAGUCGUCGUCGAGUGUGUAUGAAGUCACAGCGCGAUUGUGUGGUUUUUAGUCAUUUUAUCCACACUAGUGCGUUAGGUAAACUUUUUUGUCGGUAAGUAAACAUGCUAGCUUGAGUUUAGUGCUACGGUGCAGCGUUUUCAGCUGUGUAAACAAGAGACAAGAGUUGUCCUGUGGUGGAUACGUAGCGGUAAACAGUCAUUAACAGAUGCAAUGGAGGAGAAGACUUGAAGGCACAGCAGCUUGGACUCUGCCAGGUAGAGCGAAGGAGCAACUUUAUUUGAAGCCGAUCACUUGUUUGCUGGACUUGUAAGUGUUUUACUGGAUUGUGUAAUUUUAACUUAGGUUUUUUUUACUUAGUAUUUUUUUAGCUUUAUUGUUCAUUUUUUAAUUUGUUAUAUAGUGCAAUCAUUGUGUAACUUUAGCUGUAUUUGAUAUGUUGUAAAUUUUCCAAUAAAAGAAACUGUUAUGUGGA